AAUUUUCAAUUCAAUGUUGACAGAAUCCACUUUGUAGAUGUAUUAUUUCAAGAUAAUUGUAGAAAAAAAUUGAAACUUCCGGAUUCUCGCAAAAUAGCAGCAUUUCAAACAGAACCAGAAUGUUCACUCAUGGAAAUUUUGAUUUCGACUAACUAACCAAGCAAUUAUGCAGAUUUUGUCAAAACCCAAUUAUACGGUCUAUAGUGUCUGAAUAAGAUUCGAAGAAUUUAGCGACUGGGACUACGAAGUUAUAUUUUCUUUUUUGAUUAGAAGAGCAGAGCCGAUGUCAUAUUACAAAAGGAGUAAGCAGAUAACACACGUGAAACUGUUACUACUGGACUAAGUGAAGAAAACUGUAGAUAUAGAGUUGAUCCAACUGUUCCUGCAUAUUUGAAAUUCCAAGACGAUCCCUCCGCCGAACCGAAUGAGCUUCAUCUGUACCAUUUUUUCCGAAGUAACGCAAUCCUAGGCGCUGUUGCACAUCAGUCGAUCAUAGUUUGAAGUUCGCUAUAAAAUUGAAUUUUCAGCCAAAUGAAAGAUCAUUCUGACGGAAUACGCCGUUGCACAUUGCAGCAUCAUACUAACGGUUGGACAUCACCAGAUAUUUAUUGAACAAUAAUGUUACUGUUGAUGCAGUUAACGUCUUUGGGAAAACACAUUUGUAUUUCGCUGUUUAAUGAAAAAAAAAUGAGCAGACGAGUAUCCUGCUCCAUUAUGGAGCAAAUGUCAAAUCAAGGGAUAUAAAUAUAAUUACAGUGCAGCACAAUUUAUGAUCCAGAAAAGAAGGAAUCGACAUAGAAAUUUGAAAAAUUUAAGUAGAUGUCGGAUGUUUCCCUAAUUUAAUGUGAAACAUGGAUAGACACUAUUGCUCAAACUUGCUAAAAAUCAUCAAGUACCUCAUGCAAUGAAUUGUGCCAAAUUUUCAAUUGAAAAAGGGGGUUAAUGUAGGUAAAUUUCCAGGAUGAAUUCGGCGUAACAACCUUACACAUUUUUGCGCAUAAUUGUAAAGAAUUCAUCCUACUGUUCGAGUUGCUUUUGAGAAGUGGUGCUGAUACGAAAAUAUUGAAUAAUAAUGGAAGAAACUUCAUAAAUAUAUUAAUACUAGAUAGGUGCAAUGAUAGAAGACAACAAAUUCAGAGACAUCUAAUUACACUACCAUUCACUGAAAAUUUUCAAUUCAGUGUUGACAGAAUCCACUUCGAAGUUGUUUUAUUCAAAGGUAAUUGUAGAACAAAAUUGAAACUUUCGGAUUCCCGCAAAAAAGCAUGCAGCAUUUCGCUGUUGAAUCCAAAAAAAAUUGAGCAGGCGAUUAUCUUGCUUCAGUAUGGAGCAAAUGAAAAAUCAAGGGAUAUAAAUAGAAAUACAGUACUGCACGGUUUUUGUUCCACAAAAGAAGGAAUCGACAUGGAAAUGUGCUAAUUUUUAGUAGAAGUCGGAUUUGACACUAAUUUAUUGGGAAAAUAUGGACAGACUCCAUUGCAUAAGCUUGCUAAAAACCAUAAAGCACCUCAUGCAAUGGAAUGUGCCAAAUAUUUAAUUGAAAAUGGUGUAAAUGUAAAUUUCCAGGAUGAAUUCGGCGAAACAACCUUACACAUUUUUGCGCAUAAUUGUAAAGAAUUCACCCUACUGUUCGAGUUGCUUUUGAGAAGAGGUGCUGAUACGAAAAUAUUGAAUAAUAAGGGACGAAACCUCAUAGACAUAUUAAUACUAGAUAGGUGCGAUGAUAGAAGACAACAAAUUCAGAGACAUCUAAUUACACUACCAUUCACUGAAAAUUUUCAAUUCAGUGUUGACAGAAUCCACUUUGAAGUUGUAUUAUUCCAAGAUAAUUGUAGAACAAAAUUGAAACUUUUGGAUUCCCGCAAAAUAGCAGCAUUUCGCUGUUGAAUCCAAAAAAAAAUUGAGCAGGCCAUUAUCUUGCUUCAGUAUGGAGCAAAUAAAAAAAUCAAGGGAUAUAAAUAGAAAUACAGUACUGCACGGUUUUUGUUCCACAAAAAAAGGAAUGGACAUGGAAAUGUGCAAAUUUUUAGUAGAAGUCGGAUGUGACCUUAAUUUAUUGGGAAAAUAUGGGCAGACUACAUUGCAUAAGCUUGAUGAAAACCAUAAAGCACCUCAUGCAAUGGAAUGUGCCAAAUAUUUAAUUGAAAAUUGUGUAAAUGUAAAUUUCCAGGAUGAAUUCGGCGCAACAGCUUUACACACCUCAAUGGAUUAUUGUGAAGAAUACACCCCAAUGUUCGAAUUGGUUUUGAGAAGUGGGACUGAUACGAAAAUAUUGAAUAAUAAGGGGAGAACCUUCUUAGACAUAUUGAAACUGGAUACGUGCACGGAUACGAGACAAGAAAUUCUGAGACAUCUAAUUAUACUAGAAUUUAAAGAAAAUAUUCAAUUCAGUGUUGAUAGAAUCCACUCUGAAGAUGAAUUAUUCCAAAAAAAUUGUAGAAAAGAAUCGAUACUUUUGGAUUCUCGAAAAAUAGCAAAAUUUCAAACAGUACCAGAAUAUUCUCUUUACAACAUUCUGAUUUCGACUCACAAGAAAGUAAGCAGAUUAUGUCAAAUUCCGAUUUUACAGUCAAUAGUGUCAGAAUUCGAUGAACGAGAAUAUCCAAUUUAUGGCUUUGAUCUGAAAACAAAAAUGGAGUCUGGGUUGUGACUAUUUUUGGACGAAGGAAGAGCUUGUGAAAUUUUAUCAAUCAUCUCUAAUGGAGUUGCUUUUGAGAAGUGGGGCUGAUACGAAAAUGUUGAAUAAUAAGAGAGGAACCUUAUUCGACAUAUUCAAUAGAUAGGUGCAAUGAUAGAAGACAACAAAUUCAGAGACAUCUAAUUACACUACCAUUCACUGAAAAUUUUCAAUUCAGUGUUGACAGAAUCCAUUUUGAAGUUGUAUCAUUCCAAGAUAAUUGUAGAACAAAAUUGAAACUUUCGGAUUCCCGCAAAAUAGCAGCAUUUCGCUGUUGAAUCAAAAAAAAAUUGAGCAGGCGAUUAUCUUGCUUCAGUGUGGAGCAAAUGAAAAAUCAAGGGAUAUAAAUAGAAAUACAGUACUGCACGGUUUUUGUUCCACAAAAGAAGGAAUCGACAUGUAAAUGUGCAAAUUUUUAGUGGAAGUCGAAUGUGACCCUAAUUUAUUGGGAAAAUAUGGGCAGACUACAUUG
Long non-coding RNA from Harmonia axyridis, 3149 nucleotides. RefSeq lists it as uncharacterized. Lineage: Eukaryota; Metazoa; Arthropoda; Insecta; Coleoptera; Coccinellidae. The transcript is spliced from 2 exons. The record is from RefSeq and is a predicted model, not a curated record.